GGGAAGUGGGCAGACAACUGACACAUGAGCUCAUCGCCUGUACUAGGACUAAACAUUCAUCAUAUGUAUUUGUAUGACUUGUUUGGGUGUACUUAUUGUAAUUUGUUUG
Molecule: non-coding RNA, 109 nt
Organism: Arachis ipaensis
Lineage: Eukaryota; Viridiplantae; Streptophyta; Magnoliopsida; Fabales; Fabaceae
Source: RefSeq, a predicted model, not a curated record